RNAcentral lists this ribosomal RNA (800 nucleotides) under uncultured bacterium. RNAcentral describes it as "bacterial SSU rRNA". It matches the Rfam family "Bacterial small subunit ribosomal RNA", at positions 8 to 817 of the family's 1533-position model. The record is from RNAcentral.
AGAGUUUGAUCAUGGCUCAGGAUAAACGCUGGCGGCGCACAUAAGACAUGCAAGUCGAACGAACUUAACCAGAAAUUUAUUUUUGGAGCGGUAGUGGCGGACUGGUGAGUAACGCGUAAGCAAUCUACCUAUUAGAGGGGAAUAACAGUGAGAAAUCAUUGCUAAUACCGCAUAUGCCAUGAACAUCGCAUGAUGAAAAUGGGAAAGGAGGAAUCCGCUAAUAGAUGAGCUUGCGUCUGAUUAACUAGUUGGUGUGGUAAUGGCAUACCAAGGUAACGAUCAGUAGCCGGACUGAGAGGUUGAACGGCCACAUUGGGACUGAGAUACGGCCCAGACUCCUACGGGAGGCAGCAGUCGGGAAUAUUGCGCAAUGGAGGAAACUCUGACGCAGUGACGCCGCGUAUAGGAAGAAGGUUUUCGGAUUGUAAACUAUUGUCGUUAGGGAAGAUAAAAGACAGUACCUAAGGAGGAAGCUCCGGCUAACUACGUGCCAGCAGCCGCGGUAAUACGUAGGGAGCAAGCGUUAUCCGGAUUUAUUGGGUGUAAAGGGUGCGUAGACGGGAAAUUAAGUUAGUUGUGAAAUCCCUCGGCUCAACUGAGGAACUGCAACUAAAACUGGUUUUCUUGAGUGCAGGAGAGGUAAGUGGAAUUCCUAGUGUAGCGGUGAAAUGCGUAGAUAUUAGGAGGAAUACCAGUGGCGAAGGCGACUUACUGGACUGUAAUUGACGUUGAGGCACGAAAGUGUGGGGAGCAAACAGGAUUAGAUACCCUGGUAGUCCACACCGUAAACGAUGGAUACU